UGGGGAAUAUUGGACAAUGGGCGCAAGCCUGAUCCAGCCAUGCCGCGUGAGUGAUGAAGGCCCUAGGGUUGUAAAGCUCUUUCACCGGUGAAGAUAAUGACGGUAACCGGAGAAGAAGCCCCGGCUAACUUCGUGCCAGCAGCCGCGGUAAUACGAAGGGGGCUAGCGUUGUUCGGAUUUACUGGGCGUAAAGCACACGUAGGCGGACUUUUAAGUCAGGGGUGAAAUCCCGGGGCUCAACCCCGGAACUGCCUUUGAUACUGGAAGUCUUGAGUAUGGUAGAGGUGAGUGGAAUUCCGAGUGUAGAGGGGAAAUUCGUAGAUAUUCGGAGGAAAACCAGUGGCGAAGGCGGCUCACUGGACCAUUACUGACGAUGAGGUGCGAAAGCGUGGGGAGCAAACAGG
This 404-nucleotide ribosomal RNA is filed under the name Actinomycetes bacterium. RNAcentral describes it as "Actinobacteria bacterium partial 16S ribosomal RNA". It matches the Rfam family "Bacterial small subunit ribosomal RNA", at positions 355 to 776 of the family's 1533-position model. Lineage: Bacteria; Bacillati; Actinomycetota; Actinomycetes. The record is from RNAcentral.